This 227-nucleotide ribosomal RNA is filed under the name Clostridioides difficile. RNAcentral's name for it is "partial 16S ribosomal RNA". It matches the Rfam family "Bacterial small subunit ribosomal RNA", at positions 1316 to 1533 of the family's 1533-position model. Lineage: Bacteria; Bacillati; Bacillota; Clostridia; Peptostreptococcales; Peptostreptococcaceae. The record is from RNAcentral.
CUNCAUGAAGCUGGAGUUACUAGUAAUCGCAGAUCAGAAUGCUGCGGUGAAUGCGUUCCCGGGUCUUGUACACACCGCCCGUCACACCACGGGAGUUGGAGACGCCCGAAGCCGAUUAUCUAACCUUGUGGAAGAAGUCGUCGAAGGUGGAAUCAAUAACUGGGGUGAAGUCGUAACAAGGUAGCCGUAUCGGAAGGUGCGGCUGGAUCACCUCCUUUCUAAGGAGA